GGCCUGUCUUAAAUUAUAGGAAGCGUUGUGUUUCUGAAAUAUAUUACAAAUAUUCAAGGGGCUAAGGUUGUGUUUAACUUUGUACAUUAAAAUGCAUAUAUCCUG
Stylophora pistillata is the source of this 105-nucleotide long non-coding RNA. The record is from RefSeq and is a predicted model, not a curated record. Lineage: Eukaryota; Metazoa; Cnidaria; Anthozoa; Scleractinia; Pocilloporidae.